Molecule: ribosomal RNA, 764 nt
Filed under: uncultured marine haptophyte
Lineage: Eukaryota; Haptophyta
Description: bacterial SSU rRNA
Rfam family: Bacterial small subunit ribosomal RNA
Source: RNAcentral
AUCCGGAAUCAUUGGGCGUAAAGCGCCUGUAGGUUGUUUAGUAAGUCUGUUGUUAAAGACUAGGGCUUAACCCUAGAAAAGCAAUGGAAACUACUAGACUAGAGUAUGGUAGGGGUAGAGGGAAUUUCCAGUGUAGCGGUGAAAUGCGUAGAUAUUAGAAAGAACACCGGUGGCGAAAGCGCUCUACUGGACCAUUACUGACACUCAGAGGCGAAAGCUAGGGUAGCAAAAGGGAUUAGAUACCCCUGUAGUCCUAGCCGUAAACGAUGGAUACUAGAUGUUGCGCUUUGUGCAGUAUCGUAGCUAACGCGUUAAGUAUCCCGCCUGGGGAGUACGCUCGCAAGGGUGAAACUCAAAGGAAUUGACGGGGGCCCGCACAAGCGGUGGAGCACGUGGUUUAAUUCGAUGCAACGCGAAGAACCUUACCAGGGCUUGACAUACUACGAAUUUUCUUGAAAAAGAAAAGUGCCUUCGGGAAUGUAGAUACAGGUGGUGCAUGGCUGUCGUCAGCUCGUGUCGUGAGAUGUUGGGUUAAGUCCCGCAACGAGCGCAACCCUUAUUUUUAGUUACCAAUUCGUUGGGUUCUCUAGAAAGACUGCCGGUGACAAACCGGAGGAAGGUGAGGAUGACGUCAAGUCAGCAUGCCCCUUAUGUCCUGGGCUACACACGUGCUACAAUGGCUAAGACAAAGAGUUGCGAGCUCGCGAGAGUCAGCUAAUCUCAUAAACUUAGCCUAAGUUCAGAUUGUAGGCUGCAACUCGCCU